CGGGGCGUGGCGUAGUUUGGUAGCGCGUACGGCUGGGGGCCGUGAGGUCGCAGGUUCAAAUCCUGUCGCCCCGA
This 74-nucleotide transfer RNA is filed under the name bacterium. RNAcentral describes it as "tRNA-Pro". It matches the Rfam family "tRNA". From Rfam's summary of the family: Transfer RNA (tRNA) molecules are approximately 80 nucleotides in length. The record is from RNAcentral.